GGUUGGAUCAUUAAAAAAUUCAACUCUUUUCCUUUCGAGUCUUCCAGACUCUUAAGGGAGGAAACCCCCACUUUGUGAAUCUAUUUCUAAAAAAAAAAAUCACUCUUUUUUUUUUUUUUUUUUACUUUCCCCCAGCUUUCUAAAAGUUGGGGAAGUAAGAGGAGAAUGAAGAAGGUGCUUUUUUUAUUUUAAACUAUUUUAUUACUGUUUAAGUUUAUCUUUUAUUAAAAAAUAAUGAAAAAAACAACUUUUGACAACGGAUCUCUAGGCUCUCGCAACGAUGAAGAACGCAGCGAAAUGCGAUAAGUAAUGUGAAUUGCAGAAUUCCGUGAAUCAUUAAAUCUUUGAACGCACAUUGCGCUCUUUGGUAUUCCGAAGAGCAUGUCUGUUUGAGAAUCAGUUUAACCUGUCUAGACUCUCUUCUAUUAUUUUAGAGUUGUUCUUGGAGCAUGGGACUCUCACUUUUCUUCAAAGUGAAGACCUUAAAUGAAAUUUUUUCGUUCUACUCUUUUCACCCAUCUUUUAAAAAAAAGAUGGUUCAAUUUUUUUUGAGAAAAAGUUUUUGAAGGAAAUGGCAAGAUUAGUUUUUAGAGGACUCUUUCCUUUAAAAUUUUUUAAUUGUUGUUUCUUUCUCAAAAAAACUUUCAAAGAAAAGGGAAAGACAAAGUUGGCGAAAGAUUAAUAAAAAAACACGAAAGGGGAAACCCUUUUAAGACUUGAUCUCAAAUCAAACAAGACUACCCGCUGAACUUAAGCAUAUCAAUAAGCGGAGGAAAAGAAACUAACAAGGAUUCCCCUAGUAACGGCGAGUGAAGCGGGAAUAGCUCAAUUUUGAAAUCUCACUGGGUUCCCAGUGCGAAUUGUAGUUUAAAGAAGUGUUUUCGGGGACGGGCCAAGGUUAAGUCUUUUGGGAUAAGGCAUCAUAGAAGGUGAGAAUCCUGUAUGUGCUUUGGCUUCGUCUCUAUGUGAUACACUCUCAAAGAGUCGGGUUGUUUGGGAAUGCAGCCCAAAAUGGGUGGUAAAUACCAUCUAAAGCUAAAUAUUGGCGAGAGACCGAUAGCGAACAAGUACCGUGAGGGAAAGAUGAAAAGAACUUUGAAAAGAGAGUUAAAAGUACGUGAAAUUGUCAAAAGGGAAACACUUGAAACCAGUCUUGUGGGUUGAAACCCAACUAGUCUAACGAUUAGCAUAUGUUUCAGCUUACAGGUCAACAUCAGUUUUGACUGCUGUACAAAGCUUUGGAAAGGUGACCCUCUCGGGGGUGUUAUAGUCCAAAGUCAUGCAGUGGUUGGGAUUGAGGAACGCAGUGCAGUCUUGGAGACCCUUUCGCUAGUUGAUGCCAUUUGCCAGACAACUUGUUGAUUGGUGAGUGUAUAAGGCUAAUCGGAAGGUUUAUCACACCUGUGCUUAGGAUGUUGACAAAAUGGUUUUAAAUGACCCGUCUUGAAACACGGACCAAGGAGUCUAACACAUAUGCGAGUAUUUGGGUGGAAAACCCGGGAUGCGCAAUGAAAGUAUUAAGGUGGGAUUCUUCGGAUGCACCAUCGACCGGUCUGGAUAUUUUUUGAUAGAUCUGAGUAAGAGCAUAUUUGUUAGGACCCGAAAGAUGGUGAACUAUGCCUGAAUAGGGCGAAGCCAGAGGAAACUCUGGUGGAGGCUCGUAGCGAUUCUGACGUGCAAAUCGAUCGUCAAAUUUGGGUAUAGGGGCGAAAGACUAAUCGAACCAUCUAGUAGCUGGUUCCCUC
Molecule: unclassified non-coding RNA, 1745 nt
Filed under: uncultured fungus
Lineage: Eukaryota; Fungi
Description: sequence contains 18S rRNA gene, ITS1, 5.8S rRNA gene, ITS2, 28S rRNA gene
Rfam family: Eukaryotic large subunit ribosomal RNA (bases 718-1745)
Source: RNAcentral